This 404-nucleotide ribosomal RNA is filed under the name Bacillota bacterium. RNAcentral's name for it is "Firmicutes bacterium partial 16S ribosomal RNA". It matches the Rfam family "Bacterial small subunit ribosomal RNA", at positions 355 to 776 of the family's 1533-position model. Lineage: Bacteria; Bacillati; Bacillota. The record is from RNAcentral.
UGGGGAAUAUUGGACAAUGGGCGCAAGCCUGAUCCAGCCAUGCCGCGUGGGUGAUGAAGGCCCUAGGGUUGUAAAGCCCUUUCGGCGGGGAAGAUAAUGACGGUACCCGCAGAAGAAGCCCCGGCUAACUUCGUGCCAGCAGCCGCGGUAAUACGAAGGGGGCUAGCGUUGCUCGGAAUCACUGGGCGUAAAGCGCACGUAGGCGGAUCCUUAAGUCGGGGGUGAAAUCCUGGAGCUCAACUCCAGAACUGCCUUCGAUACUGAGGAUCUCGAGUCCGGGGGAGGUGCGGGGAACUGCGAGUGGAGAGGUGAAAUUCGUAGAUAUUCGCAAGAACACCCGUGGCGAAGGCGGCUCACUGGCCCGGUACUGACGCUGAGGUGCGAAAGCGUGGGGAGCAAACGGG